CUCUCUCAAUUUGUCCAAUAAGAAACUUUUCCUUUUCUGUUGCAAAGUGUUUUGGCAUGUUUUGAUACGGUGUGCACUAAUCAAUGAUAGUUUUCCCUGUUCCUUAGGGUUAGGCUAUAUUUUUCUCUCAGAAAAUACAACUUCCAUCUGGAAAAUAUGUAAAUGUUGGUCAUUCAGCCCUCCAGUAAUGAUACAUUAGUGAUGUACACAGUUAUAUAUUCAUAACAUCUGAUAUCUAACAGGGUGAAAUCAUCUUUCUGUUUAGGAAAUUAUUUUGGUCAUGUAGUGUAUGCUCGUCGAACAUCUCAUUCCUAAAUCAUGGGCAUUAAUAUGGAGUUGGUUGGUACCCCUUUGCUGCUAUAACACUCUUCUGGGAAGGCUUUCCACUAGAUGUUGGAGCGUUGCUGCGGGGACUUGCUUCCAUUCAGUCAUGAGCAUUAGUGAGGUCAGGAACUGACGUUGGGUGAUUAGGUCUGCUCGCAGUCGGCGUUCCAAUUCAUUCCAAAGGUGUUUGAUGGAGUUGAGGUCAGGGCUCUGUGCAGGCCAGUCAAGUUAUUCCACAUCGAUCUCGACAAACCAUUUCUGUAUGGACCUCACUUUUGUGCACUGAUUCAGCAUUGCAAUGCUGAAACAGGAAAGGGCCUUCCCCAAAUUGUUGCCACAAAGUUGGAAGCACAGAAUCAUCUAGAAUGUCAUUGUAUUAUUCCUCCUCCACCAAACUUUUGCAGUUGACACUAUGCAUUCGGGCAGGUAGCGCUCUCCUGGUAUCCGCCAAACACAGAUUUGUCCAUCAGACUGCCAAAUGGUGAAGCGUGAUUAAUUACUCCAGAGAGCGCAUUUCCCCUGCUCCAGAGUCCAAUAGCGGCAAGCUUUACACCACUCCAGCCGACGCUGGCGUUGCGCAUGGUGAUCUUAGGCUUGUGUGCGGCUGCUCGGCCAUGGAAACCCAUUUCAGGAAGCUGCCGACAAACCGUUCUUGUGCUGAUGUUGCUUCCAGAGGCAGUUUGGAAAUCGGUAAUGAGUGUUACAAAUGAGGACAGAAGAUUUUUACGCAUUGUGUUCUUCAGCACUCGGCGGUCCCAUUCUGUAAGCUUGUGUGGCCUACUUGCAGUUGACCGUGGCAGCUCUAGCAGGGCAUAGAUUUUACAAACUGACUUGUUGGAAAGGUGGCAUCCUAUGACGGUGCCACAUUGAAAGUCACAGCUCUUCAGUAAGACCAUUCUGCUGACAAUGUUUGUCUAUGGAGAUUGCAUGGCGGCGUGCUAGAUUGUAUAUACCUGUCAGCAACAGGUGUGGCUGAAAUAGCCUAAUCCAUUCAUUUGAAGGAGUGUCCACAUACUUUUGGCCAUGUAGUGAAUGUAACUCCUAAUAUGAAAGGAGACAUCCCCCCGUGAUGUAGGAGCUUGGCCACUAGGCGGGACAGUAGAUCACAAUUCCAGCCUGUACUUUCCAGGAACAGCAACAGAAACGGAUUGCAUGAACUCCUUCAGGUAAACAUGCAUUGUGUAUGUUUUUUUUUAUGUAAACAAAAUCUUGAUAAUUGUCUAAUCUAGUGGAAGAAUAAUUUGAUUAAUUGAAGUUUACAUCAUGAUAACAAUCAAGUGUUAAUAUAUCACAUGGAACUUGAUUAAGAUAAAUAUUCCUGGCUGCUAUCUAUUCAGUUUGAUUGAUGGCACGUUUGCGCCUGUUGUGAGCAAAACUGUAACAGGAUUGGUUUUAAAGUCUGACAAAACCCAAAAGUCAACCCAUUUCAGCAUAAAUGGUCAACAGAGUGAACACAUUCAAACGCUUCAUUUUUCAACUGCACCAUGGAGACUGUGUUUGAAGAAGUGGAAACAUGACUGAGUAGGGUAUAGUAUAGCCAUAGUGUAGAUUAAACAUAGAUAUCUCAUUCUGUUUGAAAGUUCAGUUUUGUGGGAAGACAUCCAUUAAACUAUUCACACAGAUGGAAUGGCAACAAAGAACAACAAAUGAUGAGGUCAGGUGAAACACAAGGCACAGUGAAGGUCAGGACUCCCACUAUACACCUCUUAGGAAAAGGUAGAUUUCAGUCCUUUAGUUUAAUGGGCAUUUUCCUCUGCGCUCUCGUGCCUAUUCGCUUGGAAAUGUAAACAAAUAACUAUACUUCUUGGUCUGGAGGCACUGUGGAUAUGUUUCAAUGUUAUGAACACAUAUCCUUCAGACAAAAUGCAUUUAAACAGAAUAUUAUGUUUACAAAAUCCUCUGUAUAUCUUGCUCUAAACAUGACUCAUUGUGUCUUGUAGAUGAGUCAAAUUGAAACGGUCAGUCUGUUCUUUUUUUUUGCCACGGGGUUUUACAUACAACAAUAACACAACCUAGAAACAGUGUCCAGGCGGAGCUUAGAAAUGAGCUUCUGUCUGGAUGGGAUUUCAGCAGAUGUGUUGUAAUCACAGAGGAAUGCUUUGUGACAUAUCUACUUGUUCAGCCCAAUUUUCCCAGGACCCAAGAGUCUGUCUCACCCUCCUCACUCUGGACAAGGCAGCCAUGAAUAUGCAACAAAGCAUAAUUUAGUAGAUAGGAAUACAAUAGCAGCUUGCUGUGAAUGCAGUUGUCCAUGAAAGGAACCUUGAACGACGCUUUUAGAAUGGGUUUGAGUGUGUUUGGAAGAAAAUGAGUUUGGAGCUGAGAGAACAUUCAAAUGUUUAUACAAACCCAUUGCAGCGAGUGUAUAAAUAUGACAAGACAUUUGACUCAAUUUGCUUUGUCUUUCUUUGGUGGCAAUAAUAAUAAUACCAGAUCAAUUCAAACAUUUAUUAUAGAAGUGGUCACAAAAUUAAACACAGUUCUCACAGUUUUGUAUAUUCAAGUUCAACAAUAAAAUAUAAAAUAAAUAUUUAUCUCCAGGAUGUAGUGACAGGCCAGGUUUUCUAAAGUAGAUGUUUGUUUUCAUGCCCAGAAGUGAUUAUCAUAAUUAAUUGUAGUGUUAAUGUGGACAGGAAAAAGCCUCGCUUGAGGUUUUUUGAAAAUGAUGGGACUUGCUUACAUUAUAAUUACCUUGUCUAGCAUGGGUCCUUUAAUAUUUACAAACAGAUCUGUGCUUUUGUGUUUCUUCAUGGUUUUCUGCUUCUUCACCAAUAUAAGUGUUGCUGUUUCACCCCAAGAUGGAUUGUUUCUGGAGAGCAAACAUUACAGAGAGGCUGUUGCCAUUAUGAUUAUGGCUGUAAUGGCCUAUUUUUGAUCAAAUUACACUGAAGGCAUUUCAUUCACACGUCUGCCUUGCCACAGCCUGGAGGAGGAUGGGUUUUGCACUGACCUGAAAUAGCUCAUUAAAAGGGACAGUGGUGUGCAUACGUAAAUACGAUAUGACACAGAGUGACAGUUGGCAUGAAAAUGGGAUGCACAGAGCCACUGCUGUUCACCAGGGGUUGUCAUUAAUUAUCAAGUAAUAUGUGUAUUGCUGCAUUCCUUUGUGAACAAAAGAUGCUAAACUCACCACAAAUAUUCCAACAAUUACUCUGAAAUGUUCAAUAGUUUAUGCAUCGCUAAUAACAAUGCAUCUAUUUAGAAUUUCUAAAAUGUUUGAUGUAAUUGUAUAGGCUCCAACAACUGGUAAAACACUCCUGAAAUACUUCUCAGAAUCUCAUGUGUUCAGAGUUUAAUCUACUCUGAAAUACGUGACAGUUAUCUAACCGAAAAGCAAUGCUGUCACCCAAACCAUUAUUUUCCUCCGAGUUUCAGGUUUUACCCCAGGCAAAUCCAGCUUUCUUUUAAGACUCAUUAUUUCAUUAGAUUUCAACUCUCUCUUCUUUAUUAUUCUCUUUUCAUCCCCCUCUCUUGCCUUUUCAUCCCGAGGUGCCUGUAGACAGAAGUGGGGAGCAUCUGUUUCCCAUGUUAUGGAAGGCUCAUGUUUCUCCUCCACUGUCUUCCUUGAACAUGCUCCAAUUAACAGAGGGAAAACAAAGGCCAAUAUUUACAUGGCCGUCCACUGCAGAGGCAUUUUAUAAGUCAAUAAUUUGCUGGGAAUGCUUGUUGUUAUGUGAAUGACAUGGGAAAUGAGUACGUUUUCAUGGUGGAAUUUUACAAUGUCAAGAUGACAGGAGUUGCCUGAAGCGUAAGAGGAAUGGGAGACGGAGGAAUACAGCAGUGCUGAGUCAGAGGACUGGUAGUGGAUGACUGGCUACUAUUCUGAACUUUGUGUGGUGAGCUUUCUGGCACCCAGCGCUACCGAGGCAUCACCCAAGUUGGUGUUACACAGAGUGGAAGAGGAGAAGUCCAGCGGCUAUAAGAGACAGGCUGGUUUCCUGACUUGCCCUCUACAAGAUCAUCAGCGGGCUCCAUCACCAUCAUCUGCCAUCCUCUGACCAGAUCCCUACACUUGAGCCAUGAACUGACCCUCUCAAUCUUCAGAGGAUGCAGCGUACAAAGACUUGGCUUCUAUUGAGUGACCUGUCAUGUGACAUAUUGCUUGUUUUUUUGCUCUUAAAGCGCUUUGAGAUUCUCAGAUAAGCGCUAUAGAAAUGUAAUAAAUUAUUAUUAUUAUUAUCAUCAUCAUUAGUAUUGGUCCAAGACAGAAGCAUGUCAUCACUAACCUACAUGACCUAUCUGGAGAGGAAUGUUUUGUGCUGAAAACAAAGGGCAAUAUAUACCUUAUUGUCGUGUAAUUCUCCUGAGGCUCAUGUCAUCAAAUAGCUAAUAAGUAGCACAAAACCAGUGAUACUUAAAAUAUCUAUGGAUAAAAGAAGUUAACACCAUUGCUGCAUGAAAAACAGACCAUGCUUUUGAAAAUGUGAAAACACUGAUUUGCAGGGCAAUAUUUCCAUAAUAUGUAAAGCACUAAAUGUUUUAAUUCACUGUAGAUUAGUUGGUCCACAGUAGAAAACUGUUCUGUAUUUAUUGUACUAUUAAGCUUUUAAAGAGGCCUAGCGGAUUAACCCUGAGCGUAAUUAUGUACAAAAACCUUGGACUGCAUUUACCCUGUUUGUAGCUCAGAGAUGAAUUUGUGUCAUUUAAAUUAAAUGUAUGUGUGGUGCUGGAAGGCUCUUGUUUUUUUAUUGGAAUUAUAAGGUGUUGUGUACUGAAAUGAUUAAAAUCUGUAUUCUUUGAAUGUGUCAGGCAAAAAUCAAUAACGGCAAGCACAGCCCCAGCCACACUGGCUGGUGGGUUUCCUGGGCUUGCCAUGGACUGAUAAUAAUUCAAACUAAAUCACCACAUUCAUUUGUCUUCCAUCAGCCUCUGGAGACAUCUUUACUAUGUCUUUUGGUAUCUCAUUAUACUUUCUAAUCAAGACUGUUUAAAAAUGUUGUCCCAAAUAAGGGGGCAGACUGUUUGUCCCCCCCCCCCCCCAUGUGCUUGCAUUGCAGUCAUUGGACUUACACUUAUUAUGUUACAAAUGACCUAGGUAAUGCUAGACAUUUUCAUUGCAUGCAAAAAGGCCUGGCCAGUGAAGCCUCUUAUAAUGAUGCAGCUCUGAGCUCUUUCAUCACUCGGUAUCCCUAAUGAUGAUUCUCCAAUACAAUUAAAAUCCCAGCAUCCCGCUGUUACAGUGACAAAAUCAUCAAAUUAUUUUUCUCUCCCACCAUCUCUGUCGAUUCAGGCAAGCUUGAUUCAUCCGUUUCAGGCUGUCUGAAUGCAGUGUCGAAAUUGACUCAGAGGAAGGGGAAGAAAAUCAAUGAGCACAAGGGAUGGUGAACAAGCAAAUAAACCUGUUUUAAAUUCACAAUGCUGAAUAAGGAUCCCCCCCCCCCCACACACACACAUCUUUAAGUACUUUGUUUCUUAAUUACUGUCUCCAAUUACCUCCAGUGGAUGUACAAUUUGCUUAAGAAAAAGCCACAGUUCCCUUAAUUCAGAAGCAUUUUGCUCCCUUGAACAUUCAAACACAAAGCAUUCGCUGAUCAUUUCUGCUUUCUCUGAGCAAUUUGUUGCCAUCUGUGUAAAAGCCACAUAUCAACAAUUGAAUUAAAGGUUUGGGUGAUUAUAUGUAGCCUAUAUGUCUCAUAACAGCGUUAAAAUAUAUAUAUAAAAAAAAAUCUAAAAUCUAGAAUAUUUCCUGAUAAGCACUAAAUUGAGUCACAAACAUAAUAUAAUUUUUUUGUUCUACCUUUCCACCUGUCAAUUGAUUGAUUGAUUGCACAGUAGGCCUAUCGACAUAAACUAUCCACAUUCCCCCCGUUUCUGGGAGAGAAUUUGCAGCAUAUUGCUCUUCAGUUGUUUGUUGAAUGUAAUCAUUUGCACCCCCUGUCUAACCCAGACUAGGUCACAAGGUCUCUGCUCAGCCUGUUGCUGAUUGUCUGACCAAAGAAAGGAAAAACACAAUUAGGCACAGAUGGCACAGUCUUUGCUCAACUGUAGGAGAUGUGUUAAUACAUAAAGAUUUCUUUGAGUUGUUGUAUUACUGCAAGUCACUUACUCAAAGGACCAAAAGCACAGUAUAUUCAAAGAAUUCACUGGGAUCUGUGAGUAUGUAAUGUUUCAAGAUGUACCUUUUCAUUUAUCUCCUAUUUUAUGAUCCUAAGACAAAAACAGAUAUUGUAAGAGUCACUUGUUCCCCACAGAUGAAAAUAAAGUGUAUAUGUGUAA
This is a long non-coding RNA of Oncorhynchus nerka (sockeye salmon), 6540 nucleotides long. RefSeq lists it as uncharacterized. The record is from RefSeq and is a predicted model, not a curated record. The transcript is spliced from 3 exons. Lineage: Eukaryota; Metazoa; Chordata; Actinopteri; Salmoniformes; Salmonidae.